AUUGAACGCUGGCGGCAGGCUUAACACAUGCAAGUCGAGCGGGGGAAGGUAGCUUGCUACCGGACCUAGCGGCGGACGGGUGAGUAAUGCUUAGGAAUCUGCCUAUUAGUGGGGGACAACAUCUCGAAAGGGAUGCUAAUACCGCAUACGUCCUACGGGAGAAAGCAGGGGAUCUUCGGACCUUGCGCUAAUAGAUGAGCCUAAGUCGGAUUAGCUAGUUGGUGGGGUAAAGGCCUACCAAGGCGACGAUCUGUAGCGGGUCUGAGAGGAUGAUCCGCCACACUGGGACUGGGACACGGCCCAGACUCCUACGGGAGGCAGCAGUGGGGAAUAUUGGACAAUGGGGGGAACCCUGAUCCAGCCAUGCCGCGGGUGUGAAGAAGGCCUUAUGGUUGUAAAGCACGUUAAGCGAGGAGGAGGCUACUUUAGUUAAUACCUAGAGAUAGUGGACGUUACUCGCAGAAUAAGCACCGGCUAACUCUGUG
This 485-nucleotide ribosomal RNA is filed under the name uncultured bacterium. RNAcentral describes it as "partial 16S ribosomal RNA". It matches the Rfam family "Bacterial small subunit ribosomal RNA", at positions 30 to 507 of the family's 1533-position model. The record is from RNAcentral.